Molecule: long non-coding RNA, 319 nt
Filed under: Apteryx rowi (Okarito brown kiwi)
Lineage: Eukaryota; Metazoa; Chordata; Aves; Apterygiformes; Apterygidae
Description: lncRNA (ENSARWG00000016000.1)
Source: RNAcentral
AAAACAGCGUGCGUUUUUAGGCAUGCUCUUCAAGCAUGCAUUAAACUGCUAGCUGCCACGCAUGCUGCCCUUCCACAUUGCCCAGUGGAGCAGGAGCAAACUGCUCCCGUAGGGCAAGAGACUGGCUUGGAGAACUCCGGCAGCGAAGGAAGAACUUGCUCUUAAGUGAAGCCUUGCAAAAUCUAGGAAAUGCUGCAUCGAAGCUCUUGAAUUUGGACCAGUUCCAGGCCUGAUGUCCAGAAACUCAUCCUUAUGGAUAGUAAAUUUAAAGAGGCUGGAUGCAAAGGGGGAAGCAUGGUAAAGACAGCAUCUUUCCAGG